CCCACUCAAAACACAACACAU
RNAcentral lists this small nuclear RNA (21 nucleotides) under Arabidopsis thaliana (thale cress). RNAcentral describes it as "snRNA_04733". The record is from RNAcentral. Lineage: Eukaryota; Viridiplantae; Streptophyta; Magnoliopsida; Brassicales; Brassicaceae.